UUAGCUAGUUGGUGAGGUAACGGCUCACCAAGGCGACGAUGGGUAGCCGGCCUGAGAGGGUGAACGGCCACACUGGGACUGAGACACGGCCCAGACUCCUACGGGAGGCAGCAGUAGGGAAUAUUGCGCAAUGGAGGGAACUCUGACGCAGCGACGCCGCGUGAGCGAUGAAGGUUUUCGGAUCGUAAAGCUCUGUCCUUGGGGAAGAAGGGUGCGAAGCAUCUUGACGGUACCUAAGGAGGAAGCCCCGGCUAACUACGUGCCAGCAGCCGCGGUAAUACGUAGGGGGCAAGCGUUGUCCGGAAUUAUUGGGCGUAAAGGGUGCGUAGGCGGCCUUUUAAGUCAGAUGUGAAAGACCACGGCUUAACCGUGGGGUUGCAUUUGAAACUGGAGGGCUUGAGUAUCGGAGAGGGUAGUGGAAUUCCCAGUGUAGCGGUGGAAUGCGUAGAUAUUGGGAGGAACACCAGUGGCGAAGGCGACUACCUGGACGAAAACUGACGCUGAGGCACGAAAGCUAGGGGAGCAAACAGGAUUAGAUACCCUGGUAGUCCUAGCCGUAAACGAUGGGUACUAGGUGUAGGAGGUUUCGAUACCUUCUGUGCCGCAGUUAAC
RNAcentral lists this ribosomal RNA (612 nucleotides) under uncultured bacterium. RNAcentral's name for it is "bacterial SSU rRNA". It matches the Rfam family "Bacterial small subunit ribosomal RNA", at positions 241 to 856 of the family's 1533-position model. The record is from RNAcentral.